GAAACUACAAAGGAAUUGACGGGGACCCGCACAAGCGGUGGAUGAUGUGGUUUAAUUCGAUGCAACGCGAAAAACCUUACCCACCUUUGACAUGUACGGAACUUGCCAGAGAUGGCUUGGUGCUCGAAAGAGAGCCGUAACACAGGUGCUGCAUGGCUGUCGUCAGCUCGUGUCGUGAGAUGUUGGGUUAAGUCCCGCAACGAGCGCAACCCUUGUCAUUAGUUGCUACAUUGAGUUGGGCACUCUAAUGAGACUGCCGGUGACAAACCGGAGGAAGGUGGGGAUGACGUCAAGUCCUCAUGGCCCUUAUAGGUGGGGCUACACACGUCAUACAAUGGCUGGUACAAAGGGUUGCCAACCCGCGAGGGGGAGCUAAUCCCACAAAGCCAGUCGUAGUCCGGAUCGCAGUCUGCAACUCGACUGCGUGAAGUCGGAAUCGCUAGUAAUCGUGGAUCAGAAUGUCACGGUGAAUACGUUCCCGGGUCUU
Molecule: ribosomal RNA, 487 nt
Filed under: uncultured Rhodoferax sp.
Lineage: Bacteria; Pseudomonadati; Pseudomonadota; Betaproteobacteria; Burkholderiales; Comamonadaceae
Description: bacterial SSU rRNA
Rfam family: Bacterial small subunit ribosomal RNA
Source: RNAcentral